CGCAGGUAUAGCCGGCUGGCCCGGACUCCCUUGGGACUGGGGCGACUGCGCAUGCUCGCUGGCCGCGCUGGGCCGGUAGCCGAGCCGCGGUGACGAACCGGCUCCGCGGUUGCGGUGUUUGCGGUUGCUGUGAUGGCGAUGUGAGGGGGCCCGGGGCGGGAUGGUGCUGACCCGGGUAGGGCCGUCUUCUUCCAGCUGGACAACGAGCUCCUCCGUCCGACAGGUGGGGGAAGAGGCCGACCCAGGCGAGAGGUUUGAAGAUCAACUGGAUUAUGUAUUUCGUUCUGGAAUCUCAAAGCAGUCCACAAACAAAUUCUUCCUUACGUUGUCUGUGUCAGGGGGAACGGUGUAUUUUUAA
RNAcentral lists this long non-coding RNA (358 nucleotides) under Rhinopithecus roxellana (golden snub-nosed monkey). RNAcentral describes it as "lncRNA (ENSRROG00000045964.1)". The record is from RNAcentral. Lineage: Eukaryota; Metazoa; Chordata; Mammalia; Primates; Cercopithecidae.